AUGCUUACGCAAACAUUCACGUGUGCACCAAGGCCUUCACGCUCGUGCACGCUUACACUCGAGCUCACAGUCCCACAGGGACACACACACACUCGUACCCACAGGCACACGAGCUCACCCUCAACCUCACAACCUACGAGGAGGUACUGUUUCACUCUCAUUUCACAGAUGACAAAACUGAGGCCAGAGAGGUUAAGUCUCUUUCCAAAGGUCACACCGCUGCGAGUGACGGUGCUGGGAUCCCGACCCAGGCCGCCAGUCCGCCCGCCUAGCCACCCAGCCACCCCUGCAUCCGUCCAUCUUCUCAUCCAUCAGCCUCCAGCGUGUCUGCCCAUCCAGUCAUCCGUCCUUACACUUCUCCGUCCAGAGGACAGGUGUGCUGAGCCCCGGACUUGGCUGCCUUCACGCCCAGGACUCUCCGCCCCUGCCCUCACCCAGGCCUCACCCAGGCGCGUCCGUGCCAGGCCGCCUCGUGUGAGCACCAGAGACCCGGUCGGGCCGCUGUCGGGGGAGGAGGACAGGGUCCUAGAGCCGUGGGAUGACAGAGCUGGAGGGAGGUGCCCUGUUCAGCUGCCACCUUCUAGCUUCGAAUAAAGACCAAGGUGAAGCCAAGCAUGGUGUGGAAUUCCUGCUUUUGUGGAGAGAAAACAAGGUUUCUACUUCCUGGACGGUCCCUCCCAGGGCCACCAGUCCCCUCCCAUCAAGGUGGCCCCCGCCCUGCCCUGAGACAGCCGCUGAUAUUGAAAGGCCCCCUCCACGCCCCCCCCACCAUCACCGCUGGCCAUCGUUACACGUGGUGUGUAGUUUCCACCUCUGUGUUCAGAGCUGGUGGGGGGCAGUCAGCAGAGGGGCGCCCAGGCCAGCCCUGAACCCUAUGCUGGGCAGGACACAGUCCAGGCGCUGGCGAGGCCAGGCCCACUGUGGCUGCCCAGGACCCUGACCCUGACCCUGGCUCCGCUCCCUCUCCUGCCAGCUGCCAGGGACUUCCCAUCGCAGCAGGAAAGUCCCGAGUCCCUAGCCUCCCGUUCGGAGCCCCCCGCA
This 1041-nucleotide long non-coding RNA is filed under the name Delphinapterus leucas (beluga whale). RNAcentral's name for it is "lncRNA (ENSDLEG00000021106.1)". The record is from RNAcentral. Lineage: Eukaryota; Metazoa; Chordata; Mammalia; Artiodactyla; Monodontidae.